AGUAAGCCAGUACGCCCCCCCACCUUUCCGUGUGGUGCUUCUUCAUCCAUCGCCUCCGGCUCCGCGAAGCAAGUUGACUUGUAGACAUGGAUUUGGGAUCUCUGGUUCGUGCUUCAGAUCUGGCCGGCUUCUCGCCGCCCUCCUGUCACUGUAAUCUUUCGUCAGAGUUUUGACUGGCGAGGCUGCCGUCUCUUUACUACUGGUUUUUACAGGAUGGGCUAAUGAGGCAGGUAAACGGAAGGUUCGUGUAAAUUUCUUCAGACGUCAGAUGUGCAGGAUUUGAAAUUUCAGUUAUGCCUUUUGAGUUUUGAGCUAUGUGCUACUGCUCAGUUUUCGGCAGUGCAAUAUUUGAGUAAAACAAUUCAUACUUCAAGGGGAGGGACCUAGCUAGGAAAGCUUAACAAAUGCAAUCAGCUUUUAACUUCUAAUCAUCCUAGGCUAUGAAACAGUGUGCUACAUGUACAUACAUUCUCUCCACCCAUCUGAUUGGAGCAGUGCCUCCCCUCCACACUGGGUGGAUGAUUGAGCAAGGCUGCUUCAGCUUCACGUCCAAACAAAAAGAAGAAACAGGCAGGUUCAAUGGAAUUGUCCAACUCCAUUGUCCUCUCUGCUACACUGCACACUCGCAUAAACAAAAAAGCUCGGAGUCAGUAUUAUAUGCAUGUUGGGACUAGGGUUGCCACCUGCUAAAUUUCAGGUUUGGGUCCAUCCAUCCAGCAUCAUUAGUCCAUGGCAUUCAAACUCACGUACUGCUACUUGACAGUUUCCUUCAUUUUGUUUUGCUCAACAGCAUGUACUACUACCAUAUAAAUUACUAGGCGUACAUCUGAUCAGCCACUAGAAAUCAAGGGAGUUACAUGGGUAACUGAAACUAGUGAGAAGCUAGUGCUUGUUGCCAUUGCUGGCAUGGGGCACUGUGGCAUUCACAUUCACCAAAUCCCAGAUGAGCCAAACAAAUAGGGCCCUCCUCCUAGUUUUAAAAAAGCAAUGAGAGAAUAUGUAUAUGUAUAACUAACAACAUUGCUUUCAUCACCCACUAACUGUUCAAGCAAAUUGCUCCACCAAUUUGCCUGCAUGCACUUUUUGGGGAAUUGCCGGUGAAGAAGGCAGAUUUUGGGGACAAUUCAGUUGAGGAAUAAACAGAACUACUAUAUCAAAACUACAGGCAUACACAUAGCAUAUGUAGCAGCAGUGUACUAGAAGCUAUGUACAAAAAAAUAUCAUGAAAAUAUGUUCUUGUUUUGCACUCUACAUUGAUCCUUGGUCCAGCUGAUCAUUAAGAUAUGGAUUGGCACGGUCCAAGAUAUAGUCUUGCUCAGAUUCCCUGAUAAAAUAUUACCUUGCGGUUGGGUCUGAUCCAAGUUGUUUAUGCAGGUCUAGAACUCAUGAUUUCAUGAGCUCUCAGGGUACUAACCUGAGUUUAAUGCAGCAAUCAUCUCGCCCCCAAAAGAGUGAGCAUAUAUUUCUACCCACUGAAGUUUGUUGCUACCGUUGGACCUUGAAAUAUAUUGUUUCUGAAGCUUUUUGGAAACCCUGCCAUGAUGUUUCUCAGCUUUCCUAUCAUCUUUCUUUGAGCAGAACAGCAUGAGAUUUGCAUUGCUACCGAGAUUCUCACAACUGAUGUAUAGCGUUUUUCUACUAAGGGGGUGUUU
This 1652-nucleotide long non-coding RNA is filed under the name Setaria italica (foxtail millet). RNAcentral's name for it is "long non-coding RNA (SITA_LNC001703)". Lineage: Eukaryota; Viridiplantae; Streptophyta; Magnoliopsida; Poales; Poaceae. The record is from RNAcentral.